This 23-nucleotide ribosomal RNA is filed under the name Schmidingerella sp. LAK-2008. RNAcentral's name for it is "partial large subunit ribosomal RNA". The record is from RNAcentral. Lineage: Eukaryota; Ciliophora; Spirotrichea; Tintinnida; Rhabdonellidae.
AGCAUCUGAAAUGAAGUAGGACC